CCUACGGGUGGCAGCAGUGGGGAAUAUUGGACAAUGGGCGAAAGCCUGAUCCAGCCAUGCCGCGUGUGUGAAGAAGGCCUUCGGGUUGUAAAGCACUUUCAGUGGGGAAGAAAGCCUUGGGGCUAAUACCCUCGAGGAAGGACAUCACCCACAGAAGAAGCACCGGCUAACUCCGUGCCAGCAGCCGCGGUAAUACGGAGGGUGCGAGCGUUAAUCGGAAUUACUGGGCGUAAAGCGCGCGUAGGCGGUCUGAUAAGCCGGUUGUGAAAGCCCCGGGCUCAACCUGGGAACGGCAUCCGGAAACGUUCGGCUUGGGUGCAAGAGGGGAGGGUAGAAUUCCCCGUGUAGCGGUGAAAUGCGUAGAGAUCGGGAGGAAUACCCGGGGCGAAGGCGGCCCUCUGGACUGGCCCUGACGCUGAGGUGCGAAAGCGUGGGUAGCAAACAGGAUUAGAUACCCCAGUAGUC
Molecule: ribosomal RNA, 465 nt
Filed under: Vreelandella stevensii
Lineage: Bacteria; Pseudomonadati; Pseudomonadota; Gammaproteobacteria; Oceanospirillales; Halomonadaceae
Description: partial 16S ribosomal RNA
Rfam family: Bacterial small subunit ribosomal RNA
Source: RNAcentral